ACGCUCGACACCUACGGAGGCAGCAGUUAGGAAUAUUGGGCAAUGGAGGAAACUCUGACCCAGCAACGCCGCGUGAAGGAAGAAGGUUUUCGGAUUGUAAACUUCUGAUCUAGGGGAAGAAGGAAGUGACGGUACCCUAGGAGAAAGCCACGGCUAACUACGUGCCAGCACGCCGACGUAUCUGAGGCGGNGNGAGAG
This 198-nucleotide ribosomal RNA is filed under the name uncultured bacterium. RNAcentral's name for it is "partial 16S ribosomal RNA". It matches the Rfam family "Bacterial small subunit ribosomal RNA", at positions 328 to 537 of the family's 1533-position model. The record is from RNAcentral.